UGGCUCAGUGGUAGAGCACUUGUCUAGCAUGCAGGAGGCCCUGGGUUUAAUCCCUAG
This is a non-coding RNA of Mus musculus (house mouse), 57 nucleotides long. NCBI's taxonomy places the organism in Eukaryota, Metazoa, Chordata, Mammalia, Rodentia, Muridae. The record is from Rfam.